RNAcentral lists this ribosomal RNA (445 nucleotides) under uncultured bacterium. RNAcentral's name for it is "partial 16S ribosomal RNA". It matches the Rfam family "Bacterial small subunit ribosomal RNA", at positions 354 to 796 of the family's 1533-position model. The record is from RNAcentral.
GUGAGGAAUAUUGGUCAAUGGGCGCAAGCCUGAACCAGCCAUGCCGCGUGCAGGAAGACGGUCCUAUGGAUUGUAAACUGCUUUUAUUUGGGAAUAAACUCCGGUACGUGUACCGGCCUGAAGGUACCAAAUGAAUAAGCACCGGCUAACUCCGUGCCAGCAGCCGCGGUAAUACGGAGGGUGCAAGCGUUAUCCGGAAUCAUUGGGUUUAAAGGGUCCGCAGGCGGUCUUAUAAGUCAGUGGUGAAAGCCUACAGCUCAACUGUAGAACUGCCAUUGAUACUGUAGGACUUGAAUUCGAUCGAAGUGGGCGGAAUGUGACAUGUAGCGGUGAAAUGCUUAGAUAUGUCACAGAACACCGAUAGCGAAGGCAGCUCACUAGGUCUGGAUUGACGCUCAGGGACGAAAGCGUGGGGAGCAAACAGGAUUAGAUACUCUUGUAGUCC